Molecule: long non-coding RNA, 238 nt
Filed under: Chinchilla lanigera (long-tailed chinchilla)
Lineage: Eukaryota; Metazoa; Chordata; Mammalia; Rodentia; Chinchillidae
Description: lncRNA (ENSCLAG00000023865.1)
Source: RNAcentral
UGUUGGACCAGGUCGUAAGCCACAGUGGGAACUCUCUAAGCAGAGCUGGUACCUAUCAUUGCCAGGCGGCCAGUUCUGCCUUUGCCCUGGCGUGUUUCCCACACCAUGGAGCAGGUAGAAGAAGUCGCAGUUUCCUCACCACCAUGGGCACGUUGCCUCUGCCUUCAGAUCAUGGUUUGUCACGGAACAUUGCCUGAGUCUUGGCUCCUCACCUUCCUCUGUUCGACCAGCAAACUCC